GACGAACGCUGGCGGCGUGCUUAACACAUGCAAGUCGAACGGAAAGGCCCUGCUUUUGUGGGGUGCUCGAGUGGCGAACGGGUGAGUAACACGUGAGUAACCUGCCCUUGACUUUGGGAUAACUUCAGGAAACUGGGGCUAAUACCGGAUAGGAGCUCCUGCUGCAUGGUGGGGGUUGGAAAGUUUCGGCGGUUGGGGAUGGACUCGCGGCUUAUCAGCUUGUUGGUGGGGUAGUGGCUUACCAAGGCUUUGAAGGGUAGCCGGCCUGAGAGGGUGACCGGCCACAUUGGGACUGAGAUACGGCCCAGACGCCUACGGGAGGCAGCAGUGGGGAAUAUUGCACAAUGGGCGGAAGCCUGAGGCAGCAACGCCGCGUGCGGGAUGACGUCCUUCGGGUUGUAAACCGCUUUCGCCUGUGACGAAGCGUGAGUGACGGUAAUGGGUAAAGAAGCACCGGCUAACUACGUG
RNAcentral lists this ribosomal RNA (468 nucleotides) under uncultured bacterium. Its description in RNAcentral is "partial 16S ribosomal RNA". It matches the Rfam family "Bacterial small subunit ribosomal RNA", at positions 28 to 507 of the family's 1533-position model. The record is from RNAcentral.